GGGGAUAUUGCACAAUGGAGGAAACUCUGAUGCAGCAACGCCGCGUGAAGGAUGAAGGUCUUCGGAUUGUAAACUUUUGUACUUGGGGACGAUAAUGACGGUACCCAAGCAGCAAGCUCCGGCUAACUACGUGCCAGCAGCCGCGGUAAUACGUAGGGAGCAAGCGUUGUCCGGAUUUACUGGGUGUAAAGGGUGCGUAGGCGGCUAUGCAAGUCAGUUGUGAAAAGCUAUGGGCUCAACCCAUAGCCUGCAAUUGAAACUGCGUGGCUUGAGUGAAGUAGAGGUAGGUGGAAUUCCCGGUGUAGCGGUGAAAUGCGUAGAGAUCGGGAGGAACACCAGUGGCGAAGGCGACCUACUGGGCUUUAACUGACGCUGAGGCACGAAAGCAUGGGUAGCAAACAGGAUUAGAUACCCUGGUAGUCCAUGCCGUAAACGAUGAUUACUAGGUGUGGGG
This 454-nucleotide ribosomal RNA is filed under the name uncultured bacterium. RNAcentral describes it as "partial 16S ribosomal RNA". It matches the Rfam family "Bacterial small subunit ribosomal RNA", at positions 357 to 827 of the family's 1533-position model. The record is from RNAcentral.